GUGGAAUUAGUGGGGACUGAACUCUUCUCUCCUCGGAGCAGGCAGAGCCUGGACAGGGUCAGUAAGUGCUUCCCCCUGGAAAGCCGGUCACUGUGCCUCUAUUGUAAACUGGAAGGGACCCAGCUGGGGACGAGAGGGGAGCUCAGGCCCCGUGGCCCAUUCAAUCCUUGGCCUGG
Molecule: small RNA, 176 nt
Filed under: Gopherus agassizii (Agassiz's desert tortoise)
Lineage: Eukaryota; Metazoa; Chordata; Testudines; Testudinidae
Description: TUC338 (ENSGAGG00000022869.1)
Source: RNAcentral